Non-coding RNA from Podarcis lilfordi (Lilford's wall lizard), 77 nucleotides. Lineage: Eukaryota; Metazoa; Chordata; Lepidosauria; Squamata; Lacertidae. The record is from the annotation of a GenBank genome assembly.
GGAGAAGAAUCUUAGCUCAGUGGCAGAGCAUCCGCUUUUCGUGCAGAACAUCCCAGGUUCAAUCCCCAUCAUUUCCA